UACGGAGGGUGCAAGCGUUGUCCGGAAUCACUGGGCGUAAAGGGCGCGUAGGCGGCUCAUGAAGGCUGUGGUGAAAGUCCGGGGCUCAACCUCGGAUCGGCCGUGGCGACUCGUGGGCUGGAGCACUGUAGAGGCGGGUGGAAUUCCGGGUGUAGCGGUGGAAUGCGUAGAGAUCCGGAAGAACACCAGUGGCGAAGGCGGCCCGCUGGGCAGUGGCUGACGCUGAGGCGCGACAGCGUGGGGAGCAAACAGGG
Molecule: ribosomal RNA, 254 nt
Filed under: uncultured bacterium
Lineage: Bacteria
Description: partial 16S ribosomal RNA
Rfam family: Bacterial small subunit ribosomal RNA
Source: RNAcentral